RNAcentral lists this transfer RNA (60 nucleotides) under Inoviridae sp. RNAcentral's name for it is "tRNA-Lys". The record is from RNAcentral. Lineage: Floreoviria; Loebvirae; Hofneiviricota; Faserviricetes; Tubulavirales; Inoviridae.
AUUUGAAGAUUAAAGACGUGACUCUUAAUCAGGGUGUCCAGGGUUCGAACCCCUGAUCGC